Molecule: ribosomal RNA, 305 nt
Filed under: uncultured bacterium
Lineage: Bacteria
Description: bacterial SSU rRNA
Rfam family: Bacterial small subunit ribosomal RNA
Source: RNAcentral
GUUUCCCUACGGGGCGCAGCAGUAGGGAAUUUUCGUCAAUGGGCGCAAGCCUGAACGAGCAAUGCCGCGUGAACGAGGAAGGUCUUCGGAUCGUAAAGCUCUGUUGAAGGGGAAAAAGAGCGGAGAGAGGAAAUGAACUCCGAUUGAUAUUACCCUUCGAGGAAGUCACGGCUAACUACGUGCCAGCAGCCGCGGUAAUACGUAGGUGGCGAGCGUUAUCCGGAAUGAUUGGGCGUAAAGGGUGCGUAGGCGGCCUGCUAAGUCUGGAGUGAAAGGUACCGGCUCAACCGUUACAGGCUCUGGAA